CCCAGACCCUGCCUCCCCGGCGCCCCCCGGAUGCCCUUGGCUGGGUGUCCGGUCUUUCAGGGGUCCGGAGCGUUUACUUUGAAAAAAUUAGAGUGUUCAAAGCGGGCCGCCAAACUCGCCUGAAUACCUGAGCUAGGAAUAAUGGAAUAGGACUCCGGUUCUAUUUUGUGGGUUUUCGGAACCAGGGCCAUGAUUAAGAGGGACGCGCGGGGGCAUUCGUAUU
RNAcentral lists this ribosomal RNA (223 nucleotides) under Chaca sp. RNAcentral describes it as "partial 18S ribosomal RNA". The stretch from base 55 to 223 matches the Rfam family "Eukaryotic small subunit ribosomal RNA", at positions 733 to 898 of the family's 1831-position model. The record is from RNAcentral. Lineage: Eukaryota; Metazoa; Chordata; Actinopteri; Siluriformes; Chacidae.